Long non-coding RNA from Pteronotus mesoamericanus, 16134 nucleotides. RefSeq lists it as uncharacterized. NCBI's taxonomy places the organism in Eukaryota, Metazoa, Chordata, Mammalia, Chiroptera, Mormoopidae. The record is from RefSeq and is a predicted model, not a curated record. The transcript has 4 exons.
GUGGUUUUCCGUCCUGUCUGGUGUCCAUGCCACAGAGCAGCGGUGUUCCGCCGGCGCCGCAGGAGCUUUCAACAUGCAUCCCUGACUGCAGUCAGGGGCCCUGGCCUCUUCCCUGGUAGCUUGUCAGAUGUAAAAACCGCAACAGCCGACUCAACGAUAGCCGUCUCUGGAAUGACUCAAAACUAGACCUUUUAUUUUCUUUUAGUCAGGUUGCCCAGAAAUACGUUUUUUUACAAACGGUUGAGGAUCCCUGCCCUAGAUCAGUGGGUACAGGAUGUGACACAGUGAAGGGUUAAGAAAUGGCAGUAUCACUAACUUCGUUUCUUAGCAUUUAUACUUAAUUGAAAUUACUGUUUCUUAAAUGAUAGAAUACAAUUCUUUAGAUACUUUACCAUCACUUCCUUACAGUGGAGACCCUGUGAUGAUAAUCUAGGCCUACCUUGAUUUUCAGCUCCAUAGAAAUUCCUAGGCAGUGCAGGUGUGGGGGACCCAUGUUGGCCAUUAAAGGUCAAAAAGGAGAAAUCGGAAAGUGUCGUGUGAGGUAACGGGGGUGAGAGGACUUUGCCCGCUGAGUGAGAACAGUGAAAGCCCAGGAGAAGAGCGGUGUUUCAAAUGCAUCUCCAAGGACAUUUGCUCUGGAUGUGAGUGGCGAUCAAUGGCUUCAGGAAGUGAGUUACCUGCCAACUGUGUGCAGGCAGACUGUGUAGGGGACAUCUGUGGCUUUGUUUUCCUUCUCAAGUGCCUCCAUUCUCGUACUCGGCGGCGCUCUGGGCCGCAGGGUCCUCGGGACAGGCUGCAGCCGGAAGACCUGGUUCACAGGCUCCUGGCUCCACGUCCCUGCAGCGGCGCGCCGUUGCAGUCCUGGAGGCCAUGUGGCUCACGCCGCGUAUCCUUGCUGUGACUGAGAACUGGUUGGUUAGCGGGGGAUGGCUUGCCAGGUUAGUUACUUCCUUUGGUGGACACUUAAUCUUCCAAGGGGGUGAGGUGGACAAGAUGCAAGAAAGUCUUUUCGUAGCUCAACUCCAUGUUUGAGGUUGCAGAUCAGUUAGUUGUAUCAGAUUUCUAGUGGAUGAGGGUAACAAAAUCGCCUAGACAGGUUAGAAUUCAUCCUAUUACGUCAGACACACUUGUACAGUGCUUUAUAAAGGUUCUUGUACAUGAUUACUUGUCCUGCGGUGGUAACAAUAUAUGGUUCCCGAUACAGGUAAUUCUGUCUAUUAGGAAACACAUGUCAGGAAAAGGAGUUUGUACUGUUUCAGUGAUAACAGUUGUGUUAUAUUACCAUAGUGCUUUGGUUUCUUGCAUCAGGCAUGAUAGACCCUAGCCUAGACCGCCUUCUUGGUCUUCCAGAAUGCAGUCUGCAUUCAUAGACCUGUCAUUGGACUUGGCUUCAUCUGUUUCAUCUACCUUAAUUUUAGUUGACCAUUCUCACGAUUCUUCCAUAGUGAUUUUUCACACAUUGGAAUAUUUUGAUUGCUGUUUUCAAUGUAGUUUAGGUUCUACAGUUGGAUUAGAAUAAGUUACUGGAAAAGAGGAAACUGAGAUCAUCUUUCUUCCUGGUAUUAUAUCUGUCUGUUAUCAUUUCAUUAUUUCAGCUUUCAGUUUGUUGGACCAUUUGCUUAAGGAACUGGAUUCUGAGCUACUUGACCUACUUGUAAGACUCAAGAUCACAAAGCUAUUGUCAGAUUGCUGGGUAUUUCAGUGCAUUUGCUUUUACCCCCGGGUUUUCACCUGAAUUCUGUGUCAGUUGAACGAUACCGCUGCCAAAGAUGAUCCACCCCUCCAUCUCCUCAGCCGGGGGCCUUUGCAUUACUAGACAUGCGCAGUCUGCAGGUGGUUGUGUUUUGACCAAGGUGUGCUCGUGUUGGGAAGACCUUGGCUUGACUUAUGAUGAGCUGUGUUUCCUGAGCAUGACCCCGUGAAGCUCAAUCUGAGUACUCUGAAGUCCUGCCCAAGUGUCCGUCCGGGGACGUGGGGCACACCUGUUCUAACACUCGCUUGCAGGCUGUCAUUUCAAAGGUUUCCCCAUGGGCGUUGUGCAGGGAGAGUGGAGCUGCAGGUUUCCCAGUGAGGUUGAGGGAGGCGGUUCUGGCCCGCUGCUCUGGUUUCCUUUUGUAUAUAGUAUCUCCUCUGCUUGUGACAUUGGUACAGCCCACCUUUGCCUUUUUCAGUGUGCAUUUCAAGUGAUAACUUCAGGAGAGUAAGGAUUGGGGAGAUAGUGUGGGUUCCCACCUUGUAGCAGAGUUGACUGAGACCAUGUCCCUAAUCCAUGAGGGGUUCCAGUUACCACAUGAGUGAGAAAUGGCCAGUUUGUUGUCAAGACAUUGCUUCAUUUGGUAUUAGGACGAGAAUUUAAAAAUGUAAGUACUUUAAUUCAUAGUCAGUUUCCACCUCUAUCUUGGCAAGACACAGAUGGAGAUUUAGAAUUUCUGGCUCUGAUUUCAAGGGGGUGAAAGUGAUACUUGGCAAUUGGUGGAUCUGAGCUCUAGAGCAAGGAAGGGUUUUUUGCCUUUUUGAAAUGGGGUCUCUCUAUUCUCAUCAUUCUUCAAUAUCUGUCAUUGCUGGAGUAACGGAUCUUUUAUUAUCUGAGAAUGACAUUCUCUGAUUAGAUGCUUGUGCUUUGCUUAUAGUAGCCAUUGUGAGGGGGUUGAAUAGUAAUUAAACAGGUGUUUAGAAAAAAGCCUGUAUAAAAAAGGUACCAUGGACAGUUGAAUGUAUUAAGACCUUAUCCUUAAAUAGUCACCUUAAUUUGUUAAUGAGAGAGAGAGUGAGUGUGUGUGUGCGCGCGCGCGUGAAGUGUAAAUACGAUGUGGGUGUUGUGAUGCUGUGAGGAGUGAACAGCUUCUUGUGAAAAGCUGUUGGGGUUCCAAUGAAUUACAUUCUUUUUAAAGUAAGUUAGUGUUUUCACAGUUUUUACCUUAUUUAGUCCCUGUUUUCCCUGCCAGAAAUGUUUGUAUACUUACUACCUCAGAGAUUUGUUUGGUUUCCCUUGGUGUGGAGGGUCCUGAGCAGCAGGAAUAUGCUGAAUGAAUGAGAGAAGGAAGCCACCCUUUCUGCCUGAACCACAUUAGAAGCAUCCAGUUGAGUGAGAGGAAAGGACUGAGUUUUAGGGGCCUGUUGAAGUACAGUGUUGCCUGAGGGUCAUUUGGCCUUAGCCGUUUGGUACAACCUAGAGUGGUCACUUCCUGCAGGGAGAAAGGACACUGGUAGCUGCUGGGUGGGCCCCAUGCAGAAAAACCCAUUCAUGGGGGCAGGUGUCAUAAAGGGAGUCCCCUCACAUGCGAAUCCUUGGAAGGGGAUCAGGUGGUGGUUUCUUGGAGGAGGGAAGGCCGACUUCCUCGUUGCUGAUGGUGGCAGCUCUCCGAGCUGCCAAGCGAAACAGGUCCAGCAGAGCUAGUGGUGAUGGCAGUGGACGGAGUGCCUUGGCAGAAGGCGGCGGCGCAGUGGUGGGAGCAGGAAGGGAAGAAGGAAGGAGACGGUUUUACAGGGAAUUUAUCACGUCCUUGUGUUGUCCAAAUGGGAGGGGAGACAUGUCCGUUGAGAGCUGAAUCAGAAUUCCUUCCUGUGUGGGGGUUAGGACUCCGAAAUACCGUCUGCUGGCCCCCGUGAGGGUAACUUCAGUGUGCUUGUCUCCAACAGCUUUGUCCUGUGAGGCUCUGUCCUUUCUUGAGGUCACUGCAUAGGCAGCACGGGGUCUUCUGUUCAUGGAGGGUCAGUUCCUGCUGUGGGUUUUAGAAUGGGUCACGUGGUUUACAAGUGUGGGCAGCUGAGAGGAAAUCAAACUUUUCUCCAACUCCAGUGCACGUGAGAGUCACCUGGCGGGUUGUACAGUUUUCAUUUUUUAGCUCCGUAGUCCUGGGUCUGAGAAAUUGACAUGUUCUUGGAUAGGCACCACAUGUAGAGAACAUCUAGGUUUUCUUCAUUUUCUGAAAGUGCUGUUAUAUGACUGCUCAUUCAUAUGGCUGUGGGUAACAUUGAAAUACAUUAUAGGAUAUUUAACAAUGAAUAUGAAUAGGGAAUUUUGAAAGAAAAUUGGUUGUCUUAUAAAAUGAAUGGAAAAUGAUCUAUUUUUUCUUGUAAUAACAAACUAGAACUGAUUAACAGUAGCCAUUGGAAUCAAAUGCAUGGGUGAACAUACUUAAAAAAUUGGAGGGACAAUGUGAAUCCAUAUAUCUUAUUAGAACAGGUUCCCAAUGUUCAUUUAUACUAUGUACUUUACCUGAGGCAGUGAGUUAUUUUUUUAAAUUUUUGUAAUGAUGUACUACUACCCAAAUUUUUUACUUGGUUCAAUUUGGAUAAAAAUGACCAAUACACAGAAAUUUCCAGAAAACGAGAUGUUCUGAGGUGCUGUGAAGAAUAGAUGUGAUCUCACUAGGGUGCCGAUUCCCGGACACGGCAGUUUCUACGUCAUGCUCGGGCUUCAGGGACGACGUUGUAUCCUUUUGGUGUUCUCCGUGGGUCCCUGAGCCGUGCACACCUUUAAUUACUUUGCAUUUAGGCAUAUGUUUGUUUUAAACAUCCACUUCUGGGUCAUUUUAAAUGGGCCAUUUAAACUGGCAACACCAAUGAACUUCUGGGUGAUGCUCUUUGCUGGGGAAAUUUAAAAUGUAUGUUGUAGCUUGGCUGUAAAUAUUGUGCUAACUAUAUUUGAUAUUGAAAUCAAGUACUGUUUUGUAAAUACGCUUCUCUGUGGGAACGGCGUUACAGUGGACAGUCUGCGUUACUAAAAAACUUGGAAAGUCAGCCACUUGAGUUGGGGUUUCCCAACAUUGGAAGUGCUAAAGAACAUAGACACAGGUCAAGUCAGAGUCACACUCCAUGGGACAGCGCAUUAAGAAGGAGCCCAGACCUGAAAGAAACUUUUUUCCCUGUGGAAUGAACUGAAUAAAUAAAGGAGAAAUCACGGAGCUUUAAAAAUUGUGACUUAUGAAGGAACUCUUAAAACAAGGAGACCUCUUUUCUGUGAGAUACACUAAAUGAGAAAUCACAGGAUUUUGAAAUGUUGUGACUUAUCAAGGAACUCUAUUUGGAAACACGGAGACCUCUUCUCUAUGGGUUAGAGUGAAUGAAAUGAGAAAUCAUGGAGGAUAUUCAAAAAUUGUGACAUAGAAGGGACCUAAAACUGAAACAGGGAGCCUUCUUUUUCUGUGGCUUAGGCUGAACACAAGGAGAAAUCACAGGAUUUUUGAAAACUGUGAUCUAUGAUUCCUAUGAGAGUAAGUUACUGCAAUGAUAACUGGUUUUCUUAUUUUUGUAGAAUGGCAAGAAAUGUGCGUCACUUUUCUAAUGUGUCUGUUGCAUCAUGUGUAACUCUAGUGAGCUUGACUGACUGCCAUGGCUGUGACCAGGUAGACAAGGUGUUUCCCUUACAGAGUGAAUUAUGUCCGUGUAAUGAUAGAAAUAUCCCAUCCCUCCAAUUCCUAAAGUCACAGUGAAGAAACUUUCAUAAAAACCCUGAACUACCAAAAUAUACUUGGUUUAAGAUUGGAAAAAUGGUGUAAGAAGGCAUAGAGUGACUGUUCUGAUAUUCUUUGAUGGGGGGAAAGCAUUCACGGUUCAUUGUAGCCCUUGAUGUCAUUAUUACUGUUUUCUUUCCAAGGCCUAGCAUAAUAGUUGACAUCUAGUAGGGAUUGGAUGGAUAGUGAAUAAUUUUGCUAUAUUGGUAUAUUGUUAUUGACAGAAUCCACUUAUAAAUGAACAAAAGGUAUAAGCAAUGAGACCUAAUAGUUAAAAGGCAAAAUUUAGCUUUCAGUUUAAACCUUGAUUUUUCAUACUCUUUAUGAAGGUUUGAAUCAAGAAGCAGGACAUUUCAUUGUGCCAGAUUGCUGCGAUCAGAGAAUUGGGUGAUACUAUCUCACACUCAGCCUGCCUACUCCAUCAGUUAGAGUAAUGCUUCCACGCCAGCGCCAAAUUUCAGCUUGGGACUUCGGUGGAAAGAGGUGUCCCUUCAGGGGGUCUGCUUUAUUGUACACAUCCAUCUGUUCAGUCUAGCUCACUGGAGAGUAAACUUAACGUUUAAAAAAGACAAGCCUGUGCUCAUCUGAAGAAAUUUCAUGUGAAAACCUCUUAGAGAUGAAGAGUUCAUUGUUAGCGAGAAGUACACAAACAGUUUACUUGUUAGUAGGUAAAGGGUUACUUGGCCACAUAAAAAAUAUGGAAGUGUAUCUAUCAUUAUUUAGGUUGGUAAAAUUACAUAGAUUAUUUUUUCCUUGGUUUUUGUAAUGUACAUAAACAACUUUUACAACUCCCUCUAAAAGAAGACUUUGAACAGUUUUUAAAAUGACAAAAUCAUAUCCACAUGUGAAAUAUCUCAAUGUCACCUAUAAACAUCAUUUCAAAGUCAUUGUGUAUUUGACUGUGACUUUUAUAGAAAUGUAAAAAGGAGAUGCCAACUAGGAGGCAAGGAGGUGGCUGUCAUUGGUGGACACAGAUGGAGCCUAAGAAAGGUGGACAGGGGUUUCACCCCCAAACCUUGAGCGCAGAUUGCAUGGCGGAUGCUGCUCAGACUUCAUUGGGUGGCGCUACCUUCCUAGUUGAGAGUUUGGACAUCUUUAAACUGUAUUCGAACUUCCAGCCGGUCGCCUUACUUCUUUUUGUCUUCAGAUUCUGUCUUUCGUCUGUCUGCCAGAGAAGUCUUUGGGAGAGGUGACGAACCACAUCGUGUUUCAGCAGUGUUAGAAAUAAGCAAUAAUCAGAAGAGAGCAAAGACUAUGUAAACUGGUAAUAUUUAGAGCAUCUUUUGCCACUGUCGAAAUGGGAAACUUUCCACUUGCAGUUUCUGAACAUUUGGAUUCUUAAAACCUGUGAUGAUAUUCCUUCACUCUUCACCUUCUGGUCUGUAAGAAUCUCCUGAAGUGCGUACAGCAAGGAAUCAAUGUGACUGCAGCCCAGGACGAUGUACAGGUUCUCUGAAAAGUUCUUAUCCAUGAACGUAGACGAGCAGGAGAUCACAGCCCGAGGGACUGUUCCUGCAUUGGUAACCGUUCCGUGUCAAGUUCUGGAGACCCCUGAACUGUUCUGUCCCUGGACAGCUGUGGGAGUCUCGACCUUAUGCUGCUUUUAGGGGUCUUUGGCCAGAUCAGGAGUGACUCUGUGGCUCUGGCCUGCAUCUGUGCCUGGCCCAACAGCAUCAGGACAGCCUCUCUGUUGCUCCCCAAAAUGCAAGUGUGUGAAGGGCGAUGAUUGAACUGAAAUUUAUUUCAAGCGGAGAAAACUUGUAUUCUUGGGCUGUUCCAGACAGUAUCCAGUAGCCAUAAGCCAGCCCUGCAGGAAUCUGGGGAAAAGGGAAGGACAGCACAUUUGAGUUGAACUAGAAGCUUUACCAGCUACAAAAACAAAGACAAAAUAAAUGUAGAUUUAUACUCUUUUGAACUUCAUCCUGCCUUUCAAAUGUUUACAUUUCCUUGGACAUCUUUGGAUUUGGACAAAAAGCAUUUUUUUUUUGUCAUGCAGUAUCAACUCACCUUCGUAAGGUUUACCAUUAAAAGCCAUGCAUUUGUGACAUUUGUAUGCAUGUAUAAAAUACUGAGAUCUUCAUUUUUUAAUUCCAAAGCAUUUUUAAGACAGCCCAAAAUCUAAUCCCGCUAAUUACUUUAUUGGACACAUAAAGCUUGUGUGUAGGUAAUGGUAUUAAAAUGUAAAUAUAAAAUACUCAGUGAAUAAUGAAUGUAUAUGAACUGUCAUUGAUAUUUGAAGAUGAAGAGAAUGAAAUUCAACACGUAAUAGUUUUCAUUGUAUUUUAUUCUGUUAAACUUUUAUUGGGAAUGUAAUACUCAAGCACAGAGGCCUACAUUUAUAAACAAAUCUAUUAUUUUAGAUAACCUUUUAAAUGGUGGUUAUGAUAUUAGAGCUGGUUUCCUAGGAAGUUUCUAAUAACAUGUUUGAUGAAAUUGUCUUCUGGAAAAUAUUUUAGACAAAAAUUUUGAGGACGUUUGUAAAGAUAUACACAAUUCUGUAUUCAUUGUGUGCUCAGGGAUAACGGAAAAGGAAUGGUGUUCUUAACACAUUAAUCAGGAAAAAAAAUGAGGCACUAGGUAUUGUGUGCAUAUCGAGAAUAAUGUGCAUGAAAAAAGCCAAAUACAAUUGCUUUGUGACUUUUCCUGAUGUAAUUGUUAACAAAGAGUUUGGUAAGAUAUAUAGAAGAAAUAUUUUAAUACAUGAUUAUAAAAAUAGAACUGUCAGAAUACCUCUGAAUGAUGUGCAUUUAAAAUCAUUGAAUGGGUUAUUGCUGAGGGGUUUUGGGGACGGGGGAUUUUUCCGUAUACAGCUGUCACGUGGACAUUUUAAUAAGGCUGCUCUGCGGGGAUGUAGAUGUUACUAUGUAAAUGAUGUUUCUGUAAAAAUGUGUAUGGAGUGAUGGAGUGGCUGCUCUAUGCUUGAUAAUGGGUGUGCAGAGCUGUGUAGGCUUUAUUACCCUUUAAAUAAUAGAAAAAGUGUUGCUACAUCAUCUUAUCAAGCAUACAGUUGGCUGACAUUUGGGGCGUGACUCCAUCAUCAGAUGUUGGGAAUCUACAUAUAUUUUGUAAAUGUUCUAAUGUUAAAUAGGUAGACUUUCAACAUUAAUUUAUGUCUGGAACAUACUGCUAUACAUUUAGUUAUAAACAGUGUUACAAAUGUUGAAUAUUUUUGUUUUGAUAGUUUUCUACAUGUGUAUAUAUCAUUGUAAAUGUAAUAUAAAUAUGUAUCAACUCACUAGGAUAGAAGCUUUUUUGUUUGCCAAAGAUGUUAGACUUAGCCUCUCCCUGUGUUCUUUCGAUCAUUAGGCUCUAUGUUCAAGUUGCGAUAAAUACAAUGUGGAGUAUCUAGUAUCAUUUGGUUUUGAUGACCCGAUUCCUAACUUUGGGGGUGUCAUUGCAACUACAGGUUGGCCUUUGUUCAUGGCUUUCCAGUUGUACACACACAGAACACAGUUCGUGGCACAGCUUAGAGAAAUCUCCACAUGGGGUAAAGUAGCCUUCAUUAGAAAAGUUUUCCCUUGCCAAGGCAACUUGACUUUUAGAGAUAUUAGUGAUUUUUUUCUUGUUUUAAAGUACUUAUUUCUAGUUGUAUAGGUGAUUUAUAUGUUUUACGGGGACAUUAGCAAUGGUAUAUCAAACCCAAGUUCAUUAUAUGUGGGCUGACAAAAGAAUGUUUUUGUAUUAUAUGUAUAUAAUAGACACAGUAUUAUGUUUUUAAAGAAUAGGAGCUACUAUAUUUGCAUGUUUUAUAGGUAUAUUUAUUAUAUAUAAAGUGCAAACUUUCCCUAGUGGUUGUCAUAUUAUCUCUGAAUAAAUAAUUGGGCAGCUGAAAGGGGUAUUUUUUAGAUCACUGUAUAUAAAAUAGUUAGAAUACAUAAGUUUUUGCUUUAAACUUUUAGUCCUUGAAAUAUAAGGAUUGUUUACAUAUUCAUAUGUGUAUACAUGUGUACACAUAUACGUACAUGUACAUAUGUGUAUAUGAGUGUAUAGAACUGAUCAUUAAAAGUCAGGAUAGAGACUUGUUGGAAGGUACUGUGAGGCUGCUAGCUAAUUUACAUAGUGGACAAAUGUCUUUGUUUUAUAACAUCUGCAUAGGAUUUGCUGAUAGGCAUAUAUUUUCUCGCUACCAAACUGACAAAUUGAAAAACCUCUUUUGCAAAUUGAAUUGCUAUACUAUGUCUAUUUGGGAUGUAUUUGGUUAAGGAUGAUUGUAUUAUUUCUUUGCUUUGUACAUAGAAGCUGAAUGUUUUCUAAAACAGUUUGGUACAUAGAAUUACUAUCAAUAAUUUUAGAAGUAUAUGUUCAUUGAAUUGUUGAAUGUAGAGUCCCUGUUUUUGUCUAUGGAGUGUGCAUCUUCAUGAGUUAGGCUUGCUUUAGAAGACUUGUAUUCUGUUUUUUCUUUUCAUUAGACAUUCUUUAUUGAAGUGUAUAAAUCAUACCAUUUAUAUUUUAAACUAUGUAAACAUGUAUAAAUUUUCUUCCAAUCUAAUUUUUGAAUGUUAAAUGUUGGGACCGAGCAGGGAAGUACUUGACUGCUGUAUGUAUAGUAGACAAGCUUCUGAGAACAUGGAACUUCCUAGGUAUGUAACAAUGCCCUCUUGUCCUGCGCUUGCGCGGGCACACACGCACACACGCACACACGCAGAGAGUAAAUAUAUUGAUGUUGGAUAUUGUGAAGGGAGAUGAUUAAUCUGAUCAGAUCUUUGUUUCUAUACCACAUAACUUUGUAGAUAUGCAGAAAUUUUUGUCAUUUUAGAAUAUAUUUCACCUAAAAGUAGAGCACAUAUGCCGUUUUUGCCUGGUGACAUGGUACACAAAUCCGGUCUGCUGUGAUCUUUAGACUGCACGGUAUUCAUCUUUAAAACACGUGUUCAUUGCUGGUGCACUUUGCAGUAUCAGGAACUAUUAAUGUAGUUGGACUUUUGUCCUUAACGUUGAGUGGGUAAAGGGUUCCGGACAAGGGCAGUGGAUGUUGUCUCAUAGCAUCGCUGGGGGAUUACUCUUUUUUCCUUGCUUCUACUCUGAUGGCUAUUGAUAGCGCACAUGUGUAUGUCGCGGUCAUGGCACUGUUACACUGUAAGGCUGAAAUACUUCUGCAGAUAGUUCUAAGAACUCUUACCUAGGUGUCUCUUUGGGUUUGCUAAACAGCUGUGUUUAUAAUAAUUGCUUUAGGUCAAUUGGGCUUUGCAAAUACAUAGGAUGUUGGAAAAAGGAUGGGAGAGGAUAGUUUUCCCAGGAUAUCAUUCCCCUUAAUGUAGUUUUAAUUGGAUUACUGAGACUAUUAAAGACAAAGUAGUAGAAAAUCAUUGUCAUGUUAGGGAAGAGAUAGAUUAAGCUUUGAAAGUAUUUUCAAUUAACUUUAUUGGGGUAACACUCGUUAAUAAGAUCAUACAGGCUUCAAGGGUGCAUUUCUGGGAUACAUCACCUCUACAUAGCUCCCUGUGCCCACUGCCCGAAGGCAGGCCAUCUUUUGUCACGCUAAUCGGGUCCCCUUCCCCUUUACUGGCCCCUGACCUCCUUCCCUACAACACGGGGGGCCCUGAGAAUAUCGUGCUAAGUGAAAUAAGUCAGUCAGAACAAGCUGAGAACUGUAUGAUUUCACUCAUGUGGGAUAUAAAGCAUUGAAAGUAUUUUUACCUCACGUUGUUACUUAGAAGAACAAUUAGAUAGUAAUCAUUACAUUGAUUUUGUAUAAAUUGUCCAUUUUAUAUAAAAAUACCUCUAUUUCAGGGACACAUUUAUGAUAGUUAUUUUCCCAGAUAUACUGAAGUUUAUGAUGGAAAUCAAUUUGCAAUUUACAGAUUAUCUAAAAUACAUGGUUCUGUGUUCAUUUGUUACAUAGCAAUAACCAAGACAACUUUGUAAAUACUGGACAAAUGAAAUAUCUGGAUGUAUUGAGAGUCUCACAAAGUAUAAUCCUGUAAAUAUUUUACUGUAAAUUUGUUACCAUUGUUUUUUAAAAACACCAUGGCAAUUAAUCAUUGGUUAAGAGACUCUUGGAGCUUUGAAAAAUUAAUACAUUAAUUUGGUUGUUAAAGAGGAGAAAUGGACAAGAUAAUGCAUUUUACCCCAUUCUCGAAGAAUAGUUUGACAUUCUAACACGGACGAAUUAUUUUGAAAUACCAUGUGAAUAUAUUUGGUGUUUUUGGAUGUACCAAAUCUCCUGAUGUUUCUCUUAUAUAAUUUGUAUUAAUACUUUUGAAAAGCAGUUUUAAAUUCACAGCAAUAUUGAGGGGAAGGCACGAAGGCUUCCCUUCCCUACACACAUGCAUAACCCUCCUUGCCAUCGCCCCGAACCUCGGGGAGCGAUGCCUACUGCUAACAUCCCCGUCAGAGGGGGCAGUUGUGACAGCCGAUAACCCUAAAGCGCAACGUCACAGUCACCCGGAGUCCAUCGUUUGCAUUAGAGGUUCGGUUUUGUGGUGUACAUUCCAUGGGGUUAGAUACCUGCAUAAUGACACUCAUCCGUUAGUAAGGUCUACAGAGUGUUCUCAUUGCCCUAAAAGUCCUUUGUACUCUGCCUACUCAUUUUUCUGUGUUUUUUCUCUUAUUUUAACAUUCAAGAUACUAAUGACUUCAUUAAGUGAAUUUUAUACUACCUCUUGGAACUAUACACAGUUCUGUAUGUGUUCCCUUGGCUGCAUGACAAUAUUCAAGACAACUUUGUAAAUAACAGGCAGAUACACGUUUUUUACGUUUUAACAUCUAGUCUUUUCACGUGUACAGAGUCUCACAGAGUAUAAUUUUGUAAAUAAUCCAUUGUAAAACCUCAUGGUGAUACGUGUUAGGAACGCGUUCACACGGACGUGGCUGGAGUGGUGGGUUUCUAGAGCUGGGCACGGGCCUGGGACUGUUGGGGGGGGUCGGGGAGGAAAGGGCAGGCGGACGGCGCCUUCACUUCCGACUUCUCGCUGGAGAGAAAAUGCUACGUUUAAGCCAGUGUUUGUUUAGUGCUUGUAUUAUUACAUGUUAAAAGCCAACAUCAUACUUUUGUAUUUGUAUUGCUAAUAGGGCAUUAUGUAUUUUAAUCAUAGGAGAUGUGUUUUAUAUGAACCUCUGUUCUACCUUUUUGAAUUGUACAAUUUUGUAUUUUAAAUUGGGCUGCAUGACUACAUUCAAGACAACUUUGUAAAUAACAGGUACAUAUAUCAAUUUAAACAUCUAGUUUUUCUAGAUGCUGGGAGUUUCGCAAAAUUUUGUAAAUAUUUCAUUGCAACCUAUCGUAGUUGGCUUCUCUACUAUUUCAGCAAUGUGGUGGGUGGUGGGUAACGCUCCGCCCCCUAGGGCUGGGUGACCAUUCUGGGGUUUCUGGGUGAGGUUUUGCGAGAGGGGGUAACAGGUUAUCCCCAUAUGUUCAUGUUGUUAGGUUCUCAUGUAUAAGAAAAGAUUAGAGUGUAUACUUACCACAGAAAAUACACCUGGGAUGUGUUUCUAGUACAAAGAAAAAGACUUCAGAAGGGAAUUGUCACUUUGUCACAUUCAGACAUACUGAGCGAUCUAUUCAGAGGUUAAAGAUAACAUUGCUGAAGUAAUUCUUACUUUGCUAUGCUAGAUAAAUCUCUUUGCAAAUGUAUGUAUCCACAUAGCCAUAUGUAGUAAUGCAUAUACAAACAUUUUAGGAGUAUAGAUAAGAUGAUGUUCUUUUUUUGCUCAUUUAUUUAGCUUACUGAUUUUCAUUUUCUUCUCUUGAAAAUUAUGGAAAUAGUAUUCUUAGCUUAAGCAUUUCUAGAAACCUGCUUCAUGUUACAUUUAAAUAUAUGUUAGUUUUUAUAUAAGUAUAAGCAGCUUCAUAUCUUAUUUUUAACCUGUUUUCAUAUAUAUGCAUCUGUAUGAGAGAAUUCCUCUGUGAAUAUUUUUAAUAUUCUCUGAGAACUUUUUAAAGUUUUUUGAUGAAUUGGUAUUUUUGAAUGUUAUGUGAUAAAUGCCAAAAAAUGGUGUAUCUCAGUUGCCUAUUGUGUAAAUUAUGAAGCUUUCUUAAGAAAGAUGGUCCUAUCCAGUAUUGAUCAAAGUAUAAAUAUCUUUUUGAACAGCAGUUUGGUAAUGACAAUCAAAAUUGAAUGUGUAAAACGUGAGAAAUGAUGUAAGUCACUGCUGUGAGUUUAUCUAUCCCAACUCAGAAAUACGAAGAAGAAUGUUAAGGAGGGAGUGGGACGUUGACCAGCUGAAACACACAUCACUAAAGGAGAGGUGGUAACGAGUACAGCUUACAAAUCAUUAGUAUAAUUUAAACGUGGACAAAACAGUCUUAAGUGGAAAUAUUUUGAUACUUAAAAUUGUCAUUUUUGAACAAAGAUUGAGUAAUCGAUUGCGCGUGGACAGCGGUGUGUCCACCCGCCUCCCGUUCUGCCCACGGGGGAACGGGAUUGUCCUGUUAUGAUGAGAGUUGAGUAAGGAGCCUUCAUCAUCACUGUGGCUACAAUGGUAAUUGUUUGGGCCGCCUUUUUGACAUUUCUGUACACGUGCUAGUUAAACAGUGAGGCAUUGUUUAAUCCAUAUAUUUGUAUAUUGCUACACGACAAUCUAAAAUGACUGUUAAGAAUUAUGGAAGAGAAAGGUGUCUGGAGGAAUAUGGCAAAAUUUAAAUGCAUGGAGAGAUGGGAAAAGGAGGACUGCUUUUACUUUCUGCAUUUAAAAUUUAAAAGGCAUUUCGAACUGAACAUUUAACCAACAAGGAAUUGUAACGAUACAACCAACUUGUGCCUCUUCAAUCUUGCCUAUAAAUAUCUUGGGAAUAUUGGGCAACGGCGUCCGGCCUUAUGUUCCCACUGGCCAUGUAUGGCGGGUUUGAGAGAUGAAGAAGAGCACGUGACUCGGACGAGUGCAGCAGCGGCUGUACAGUGUCACACAGAGAACCGAUCAUCCAAGGAGAGGAGGAGGAGAGGACGGCAUUGGAGGUACGAGCCACAGACGUCCAUUUGAGGAGCAGACCGAAGGUGAACAUGAUGGAAGAGAAACGUAUAUGCAGAUAACGAGAGGACAGCUAACAUCAUCAGGAACAUCUGCCUUUCUGUGAAGUUCCUUUAAAUUUCAACUGAACCACAGGAACGGAUAGUUCCAGGAAUCUACACUUUUUUGCUGUCCUUGUUAUUAGUCCCAAGAAUUGGCGCCACCACCCUGUGGAGUGCUCCUCAUUGCUGUGCGCUGCACGCCUGCCUGAGAGCCCAGGACCAGUAGGCCUGAGGGUGGAUGACCGCUCCUUUGACGCAGGGCAGGCCGCUGCCGGAGGCAGAGCUGGGGGUGACCGAACAGGAGCCGGUGCCCUUGCUUCUGCCACCGUCUUCAGACCCAAAAGACAAUCUUCAUCAUGUGUCGGAGACGCCGCUUUUGUGUGUUGCCAGGGAUGCUCCCUGCAGAUGAGAACAUGGGACUGAGAAAGCUCAUGUUGGAAAGUGCCCUGAAGGGUGUCGUGGAGACUUGUAAGAGGCAUGUUGACCGUUUCCAUUGUUGCUGUUGGACUGAGUCCCCGGAGAUGGAGCAAAGGGAGCCAUCACUCCCGGGAGGCCUGGGACAUGCCGAGGCGGGGCCCCAUGUUCCCGGGAGCGCUGAGUGCGUGUGUCUGACUCCACGCACCGCAGGGCGGAUCUGAAAUGUAUUCCUUAAAAGUCAUCUUAUUGUGAUUUUAGGACAUAGGUAGUUGUUCAUUAUAUACUCAAUAGUUUUCCUUCAAGUGCCUUUGUUUUCCUUUUUAUUUUACUACCUAGUAUAGAUUGUCUCUUUAUUUUUCAAUUAUAUUGGACACGUAGUACUAGUAUAUAUCCGAUUUAGGUGUCCAGCACAGUGAUUAGAUAGUCAUCUACUUCAAAGUGUUCACCGCUUACUUCAAGUUCCCACCUGGCACCAUACGCAGUGCUUAGAGUGUUUUGACUGUAUUCCCUAUGCUGUUACCUAUUAAUGGAGUGUGCGCACAUCCUUUUGGGUUGUGUUGAGUAAAUUGAUAGUUAAGUAGUGUUUGGGGGCCCAGAUGCUCUCUACAUACUCCUUAUGCAGUAAACUCGCUGUUGUAUAACUCAUUUUGAAUUUGUUCAAACUAAUUUGUUGAAAUAAUUUUAAUUAAUUAGAAAUGUUGGGGCUAAGGAUAUCAAAAAUUUACAUUUUGAAUCAAAACAGUAGUUUCUACCUAAAUAUAAAUGCUGCUCAUCAAUUUGUCAGUGUUUAUGAGAGUUCAGACUAUACAACACAGCAUUUUUGUUCUUUGACGGUGUGAAACUACAGAGAAAUUAUUCUUUUGUCAUUGUUCAGCUCAGUCAUCAUAUUCUUUGUUCUUAAUUGUCAUUUGUAUUAUUUCUUUUUCGAUUUUUCCAGUUUCCUUGGAUAAUUAGUGUCUUUGUAACUGGUUUCUUAAGAGCUCAUUUAUGACUAAAAUGUUAACCAUACUGCAUGCAUUGCAAAUGAAAUACCAUGUUUUUGUUAUUUUACUGUGCUGUUUUAUUUUUUGGUUGUAAAGAAGUGUGUAUUCAAAUAUAAUCAUUCUGUUUUAUGCCUUUUGUGUUUGUGUUUUUCUUUAAAAACAUGUUUACAUUUAGUAUUACACAUUUUUGUCUGUAUUUCCUUCUAUUUUUGUUAUUUUUUCAUUUUUUCUUUUUCCAUGAAUCAUUGCUACAGUUUGAAAGCAUUACAUACACGAAGUAUUCACUGUGAUCUAAGCAGUUAACCACUUGUUUCAAAACCUACUCUAUCC